UAUUUAAAUAGUUUAAGAAGAACGCCAGUUUGUGAAUCUGGAAGUAUAAGAAGUUUAUUAUUUUAAAUAA
RNAcentral lists this transfer RNA (70 nucleotides) under Strahlaxius plectrorhynchus. RNAcentral's name for it is "tRNA-His". It matches the Rfam family "tRNA". From Rfam's summary of the family: Transfer RNA (tRNA) molecules are approximately 80 nucleotides in length. Their secondary structure includes four short double-helical elements and three loops (D, anti-codon, and T loops). The record is from RNAcentral. Lineage: Eukaryota; Metazoa; Arthropoda; Malacostraca; Decapoda; Strahlaxiidae.